Molecule: long non-coding RNA, 461 nt
Organism: Zalophus californianus (California sea lion)
Lineage: Eukaryota; Metazoa; Chordata; Mammalia; Carnivora; Otariidae
Exons: 3
Source: RefSeq, a predicted model, not a curated record
UGUGUCUGGGCCUGGCUUCUCCGGCAUGCAGCUUGUAGUGUCGAAGGCCAUUUGGGCGCAGGCACCCGGGCAGUGGGCCUAAGGAGAAGUGCCAGGCUCCGGUAAUGAGAAACUGUCAGCCUGCCGCUCAGUUUUCAGUCAUUUAAGAAUGACCUUGAUAGAUGAUUUGGUCUAAGAGUCACUUGAGCAGUGAAGGGUUCAAACAGCACCCGGAAAGGCUCUGCAUGUGUUGCCUCUGAACUUGGAACUUGUCCAGGACUUCCUUGCAGUUUUCUUCACUUUUCAUUUCUCUGCCACCCUGGUCCCAUGUGCUGUCUUCCGUGAAUCCCUCCAUCUCUAGCCCAUUGAUGUGGCAUCCCACUCUUCUUGAACAGUUACCCGAGGCCAACCACUGUCCGCAAGCAGAUGACCCUCCUUAGGUCAACAGUAGCCUAACGCUGUGUCACAUGGCUACGUCCUUC